Long non-coding RNA from Hordeum vulgare subsp. vulgare (domesticated barley), 865 nucleotides. RefSeq lists it as uncharacterized. Lineage: Eukaryota; Viridiplantae; Streptophyta; Magnoliopsida; Poales; Poaceae. The transcript has 2 exons. The record is from RefSeq and is a predicted model, not a curated record.
CUACCUGACAUCUAUCACUCUAAUUCAUCGAAACUUCUUGGUGUUCUGCUUCCUUGGUAGCCAUCUCCCUUGUGUAAACAUCAGGAGAGCAGAUACUUGGAAGGCUUGAAGGCAGCAAAUGUAGUCGCACAAUGGUCAUCAUGAAUGCAGUAGCAGCAAGAAGUGCCACUAAGACUUUUGAUUGACUGUGCAUAGGGAGGAGAUGAAAAUUAGUUCACUUUGUAGUUUGUAUAUAAUUUAAAGAGUUUAGGGUGAAAUUCUUGUUGCAGGCAUUUUCCUGUAAAACAUAAAUUCAGGGUGAAAACCCACAUAGUUCAGAGUGAAGUUAAGGUUAAGUAAGAAAAUUCUGUGACAUCUUGAAGCAGAAUAAGUGAGAGCUUCUACAACUUUUUGGAAAGGAACCUGAAACGCUGCAUCAUCUCCUGGUUGGGUACGUUGCAACACGUAUCAUUCACCUGGCACGAGAUCCUGUCAUGGUGCUGGCUGACGGUGCUUCCCCCUCCCUACCAGGCCUUGUUUGGUAGAGGUGGUUUGGUAGAGGUGGAUCUAGGAGGUUUAGAGGGACCUCCCUACCAGGCCUUGUUUGGUAGAGGUGGUUUGGUAGAGGUGGAUCUAGGAGGUUUAGAGGGGAGGGGAUUUGGUGAACCCCCUCUUCCACCCCUUCAAAUUCACUUGAAACCCUUCCAAUCACAACCCUCUCCAUACAAAUCAAACAUUUGGUUGGCAGGGAAUGUAAUAUUGUGAAACGUCUAAAAAUGUAAUCUUUUAUCAAGAAAAGCUUGCUACAAAUUUGUAAAGGUCUACAAAUAAAAAUGUGAACUCUACAUGGGAGUAUUUUUGUAGCAACAACACAAUUUUGCAUGAA